CAGUCGCCGCGGUAAUACGAAGGGGGCUAGCGUUGUUCGGAUUUACUGGGCGUAAAGCGCACGUAGGCGGACUUUUAAGUCAGGGGUGAAAUCCCGGGGCUCAACCCCGGAACUGCCUUUGAUACUGGAAGUCUUGAGUAUGGUAGAGGUGAGUGGAAUUCCGAGUGUAGAGGUGAAAUUCGUAGAUAUUCGGAGGAACACUAGUGGCGAAGGCGGCUCACUGGACCAUUACUGACGCUGAGGUGCGAAAGCGUGGGGAGCAAACAGGAUUAGAUACCCCUGUAGUCCCUGUCUCUUAUAC
RNAcentral lists this ribosomal RNA (301 nucleotides) under uncultured bacterium. RNAcentral describes it as "partial 16S ribosomal RNA". It matches the Rfam family "Bacterial small subunit ribosomal RNA", at positions 509 to 807 of the family's 1533-position model. The record is from RNAcentral.